RNAcentral lists this long non-coding RNA (1299 nucleotides) under Capsicum annuum. RNAcentral describes it as "long non-coding RNA (CANN_LNC019801)". The record is from RNAcentral. Lineage: Eukaryota; Viridiplantae; Streptophyta; Magnoliopsida; Solanales; Solanaceae.
ACCAUUUGCUUUCAUUAAUGUAUUUUUUUUCAAUAAAUAAUGACAGAAUUGAAAUUCAAUUCAAUUCAAUAAUAAAUAACAAUAAUAUAAUUAAAUUAAUUAGUACUAACAAAAAAUUAAUACUCAUGCAAACAACUACUUUUACAUGAUUCUUUAUUCACUAACUCUUAAUAAAAUAUAAAACAAAAUUAAAGAUCAUUCAUUCUUCCAUGUUUAUGGAACCAUCACCAAUCAAGUGAUCAAUCUUUCCUUCAGGGUACUCAAAGAAGUCUGCUACAUCCAAACUUGUGAUGUCAAUAUUAUUUUCAGAGAGAAAAUUAGUCUCGGGAUUUCUUUCUUUCUUCUUUAGUGAUGCUUGAUAAAGAUCAACCAAGUGCUUGAGAGCACGACAGUCACGUGAAUAAUGUCAUUUUCCACCACAUCGGAAACAAGUAAUUGCUUCACUUUUUUCAUCUUUUUUCUUUUUGUUCGAUGAAUGAUUAACAUCCAGAACAGGGUUUCUUUCUUGGUUAUCACGACCACGACCAGGGCCGUGACCUUUUUCACGCCUAGCAUGGUGGGCAUGUACAUCAUUCACCUCAGGGAAUGGUUUAGAUCCAGUAGAUCGAUUCUCGUAAUUUUUCAUUAAUAAAUCAUUAUUUUGUUCAGCUACGAGAAGAUGAGAACUCAGUUCAGUAUAUUUCUUGAAACCUUUUUCUCAAUAUUGUUGCUGUAAGAGCACAUUCGAGGCAUGAAAAGUGGAGAGUGUUUUUUUCAUCAUAUCAUCAUCAUUGACUGUCUCUCCACAUAGUUUCAAUUAAGAAGAAAUUCUGAACAUGGCAGAAUUGUAUGCAUGAACAGACUUAUAGUCUUGAAAUCUUACAUGCAUCCACUCAUAUCGUACUUUCGGGAGGAUGGCCAUCUUUAAGUAGUCAAAUCUUUCUUUUAGGCUAUUCCACAAUACGAGUGGAUCCUUAGUAGUAAGGUACUCAGUUUUUCAAACUUCGUCAAGAUGAUGACGCAAGAAAAUCAUAACCUUAGCACAAUUUUGACUAGAUAUUGUAUUCUCUUUUUUAUGGCAUCUCCAAGACCCAUAGCAUUUAGGUGGAUUUCAGCAUCCAGCACCUAUGAAAUAUAGUUCUUGCCCGAACUUUGAAGGGCAACAAACUUACACUUCGUAAGAUUGUUAGACAUAUGAAAAAUGGAAGAAAAAGAAUAAUACCUUAGCCUUACCCUUCAAAUUUGAGACGGUAGAGUCUCGUGCUGAUAAUGUGUUAUAAAACAAGAAAGAAUAGAGAAAAAGAAGAAUAUAGAAUAGAG